This 492-nucleotide ribosomal RNA is filed under the name uncultured bacterium. Its description in RNAcentral is "partial 16S ribosomal RNA". It matches the Rfam family "Bacterial small subunit ribosomal RNA", at positions 29 to 507 of the family's 1533-position model. The record is from RNAcentral.
AGUGAACGCUGGCGGUAGGCCUAACACAUGCCAGUCGAACGGCAGCACAGUAAGAGCUUGCUCUUACGGGUGGCGAGUGGCGGACGGGUGAGGAAUACAUCGGAAUCUACUUUUUCGUGGGGGAUAACGUAGGGAAACUUACGCUAAUACCGCAUACGACCUACGGGUGAAAGCAGGGGAUCUUCGGACCUUGCGCGAUUGAAUGAGCCGAUGUCGGAUUAGCUAGUUGGCGGGGUAAAGGCCCACCAGGGCGACGAUCCGUAGCUGGUCUGAGAGGAUGAUCAGCCACACUGGAACUGAGACACGGUCCAGACUCCUACGGGAGGCAGCAGUGGGGAAUAUUGGACAAUGGGCGCAAGCCUGAUCCAGCCAUACCGCGUGGGUGAAGAAGGCCUUCGGGUUGUAAAGCCCUUUUGUUGGGAAAGAAAAGCAGCAGGUUAAUACCCCGCUGUUCUGACGGUACCCAAAGAAUAAGCACCGGCUAACUUCGUG